RNAcentral lists this transfer RNA (69 nucleotides) under Hodotermopsis sjostedti. RNAcentral's name for it is "tRNA-Phe". Lineage: Eukaryota; Metazoa; Arthropoda; Insecta; Blattodea; Termopsidae. The record is from RNAcentral.
ACUUGAAUAGCUUAUAUAAUUAGAGCAUAACAUUGAAGAUGUUAUCGAGAUUAAUUUUAUCUUUAAGUA